UAUGCAAUGAGUGAUCACAUAUUAGAUUGAGCUAUUUAGUGAUGGAUAAGGUUGGUUGGUUAACAUAUUAGAGUAGAAUCGGCUAGUUAUUGUCUAAUUAGUCUAGGUUUAUGGGAUCAUUGGAAUGAUUAUAUGAUGGUAGGUAGGUUCUUGGACUUAUGCAACUUAGCUUUAGAAAUAUAGAAUUAUGAUCGGGUUGAAGCAAGAAUUAGGUAUGAUUAGGUAUUGGGUUGAA
This 235-nucleotide long non-coding RNA is filed under the name Elaeis guineensis (African oil palm). RNAcentral's name for it is "long non-coding RNA (EGUI_LNC006436)". The record is from RNAcentral. Lineage: Eukaryota; Viridiplantae; Streptophyta; Magnoliopsida; Arecales; Arecaceae.